UAUUCCACCUCAAAAAUUAUUGUCAUUCUUGGAUCUUGAACCACCAAAACAACCCCUAGCUACUGGUUGAGUAAUUUGAUUGGAAAAGAUGGGUGGGUUUGAGCUCAAAUGGUUUGUAGGAGUAGCUGUUGUUCUGAUGAUGGUUCAAAAUAUUCUUGGUUGGGGGAAAGAGGGACACUAUAUUAUCUGCAAAAUUGCUGAGGAAUAUCUAACAGAAGAUGCUUUAGCUGCAGUCAAAGCAUUACUCCCAGAUCAAGCCGAAGGUGAUCUUGCAGCUGUCUGCUCCUGGCCUGAUGAGGUUCGGCGCCACUACCACUACCGCUGGAGCUCUCCAUUACAUUAUGUAGAUACACCUGAUUUCUUGUGCAAUUACAAAUAUUGCCGAGACUGCCAUGACGGGCAUGGGCUCAAGGACAGGUGUGUUACGGGAGCAAUAUACAACUACUCAAUGCAACUUUCGCAGGGAUAUUAUGAUUUGAAUUCAGAAAAAUGUGAGGAAGACUGCCCCUCUGUGUUAUUGAUGCAUUUAUUGGACUGGAGCUAAUUGUUUCUAGUGACAGACAACUUGACUGAAGCACUUAUGUUCUUGUCUCAUUUUGUUGGUGACGUACAUCAGCCUCUCCAUGUUGGUUUCACUGGAGAUCUUGGUGGAAACAGUAUAAUUGUUCGUUGGUACAGGAGGAAGACUAAUUUGCACCAUGUAUGGGAUAACAUGAUUAUUGAAUCUGCGUUGAAGACAUACUACAAAUCUGAUAUAAUGUUAAUGACACAAGUUCUUCUGAAAAACAUCACUCAUGAAUGGUCCGAUGAUGUUCCAUCUUGGGAAGAUUGCAAGGAGAUGGUUUGUCCUGACCCAUAUGCUUCUGAAAGUAUCCGUUUGGCCUGCAAAUUUGCCUACAGAAAUGCAACCCCGGGAAGCACUUUAACAGACGAUUACUUCCUCUCUCGUCUUCCUGUUGUGGAGAAGAGGUUGGCACAAGGUGGGGUCCGCUUGGCCGAAGUUCUCAACAGAAUUUUCACUAAAAAACCAUCAGAUGCUGCACAAUGAAGAUAAACUGCAGAAGAAAACCACUCUAUGUAUUCAAUUAUCCAUUAUAACUUGGAAGUUUCCCUCACGCCAAGAACUGAAACCUACUUAAGUGACUUAUAAGUCAACUAUUGUAUUAAAAUGGGUGUAAUAAAAUGUUACUUUAGAUGCACAACUAGUCCAUUAUUACAUGAUAGAUGCUACUAUCAUAUUGGAAUAUGCUGUAUGUUGCUUUUAUGGAUAAUCAACCUCUAUUUUACUUUUUAAGAUAAGAGGAAUCUUCAGCUUGUACACAACAAGAACCAUUUCAACAGUUUUUGUAUAUAUAGAACAAGUCCAAGUUUG
Molecule: unclassified non-coding RNA, 1372 nt
Filed under: Hevea brasiliensis (rubber tree)
Lineage: Eukaryota; Viridiplantae; Streptophyta; Magnoliopsida; Malpighiales; Euphorbiaceae
Source: RNAcentral